Molecule: unclassified non-coding RNA, 329 nt
Filed under: soil metagenome
Description: partial contains 5.8S ribosomal RNA, internal transcribed spacer 2, and large subunit ribosomal RNA
Rfam family: 5.8S ribosomal RNA (bases 1-120)
Source: RNAcentral
GAUGAAGAACGUAGCGAAAUGCGAUAAGUAAUGUGAAUUGCAGAAUUCAGUGAAUCAUCGAAUCUUUGAACGCACAUUGCGCCCCCUGGUAUUCCGGGGGGCAUGCCUGUUCGAGCGUCAUUACAACCCUCAAGCUCUGCUUGGUAUUGGGCCCCGCCAGUUCUGGCGGGCCCUAAAGUCAGUGGCGGUGCUUUCCGGCUCCGAGCGUAGUAAUUCUUCUCGCUCUGGAGACCCGGUUGUGUGCUUGCCAACAACCCCCAAUUUUUUAAGGUUGACCUCGGAUCAGGUAGGGAUACCCGCUGAACUUAAGCAUAUCAAUAAGCGGAGGA